GCUGGGUGUGGUGGCACGUGCCUCUAGUCCCAGCUCCUCAGGAGGCUGAGGCGGGAGGGUUGCUUGAGUCCAGGAGUUCUGGGCUUCAGUGCAUUAUGCCAGUUGAGUGUCCGCACUGUUUAGCAUCAGUAUGGUGACUUCCCGGAAGUGGGGUACUGCCAGGUUGCCUAAGGAGAGGUGAACUGGCCCAGGUCAGAAAUGGAGCAGGUCAAAACGGUAGUGCUGAUCAGUAGUGGGAUCUCAGCUGUGAAUAGCCGCUGCAUUCUAGCCGGGGCAAUAUAGUGGUAGG
Non-coding RNA from Fukomys damarensis (Damara mole-rat), 289 nucleotides. The record is from Rfam. Lineage: Eukaryota; Metazoa; Chordata; Mammalia; Rodentia; Bathyergidae.